Molecule: long non-coding RNA, 447 nt
Organism: Oncorhynchus masou masou (cherry salmon)
Lineage: Eukaryota; Metazoa; Chordata; Actinopteri; Salmoniformes; Salmonidae
Exons: 3
Source: RefSeq, a predicted model, not a curated record
GAGAGUUGAAGAUUUGAUCACAGCGCAAUACGCACGCUCAUACUAACGAUCCGAGGUGGCUACAAUAACUUAUCACAGAGUUUCUUUAUUCGAAAUUAUAGUGAAUGUUCGUGUUCAACAGCUUGUACAGUUUUAUUAUCUAUCUUGGAUAUUAAAAAAAAGAAGACAAAUCGUUUCUUUAUCGACCAGCGUUAUGGAUGUUUCCAAAGGUGUCUUGGUUUUCACUCUAGUCUGCACGUUGCGACCUAUGCUGUCCAUUCAGAUAUGUGACAUCAUGCUGGAGAUGGAGAAGGAGAGAGAGACGUGCAUGGCCCAGUUAGAAAACAUGACAACAGGUUGCAGUGGGACGUGGGACAAGGUGGCCUGCUGGCCCAGCGCCAAUACAGGACAGGUGGUCACCAUCCCCUGCCCUGUCUACUUCUUAUACUUGACCAACGACUUCAUCAU